CGUGCGCACGCGCCGAAUCCCGUAGGGAACCGGGGAACCACUCCUUGGGGUGAAUCGGACGCCUUUCGAGGCGCCCGUAGGAGACCUUCCUGCUCCGAACCCGUCAGCUAACCCGGUAGGCGAGAAGGAAGGAAAGG
Streptomyces sp. NRRL F-6602 is the source of this 137-nucleotide non-coding RNA. Lineage: Bacteria; Bacillati; Actinomycetota; Actinomycetes; Kitasatosporales; Streptomycetaceae. The record is from Rfam.